Long non-coding RNA from Lathyrus oleraceus (garden pea), 688 nucleotides. RefSeq lists it as uncharacterized. NCBI's taxonomy places the organism in Eukaryota, Viridiplantae, Streptophyta, Magnoliopsida, Fabales, Fabaceae. The record is from RefSeq and is a predicted model, not a curated record. The transcript has 2 exons.
AAAAAACUCAAAUAAUGCUUUUCAAAAAAUUCAAAAUCACUCAAUAAUUUUGUGAAAUAAUUUUUUUAAAUGAAUAGGGUGUGUGACGGUGCCAAAUGUGGGGUGGCACAGUGCAGAAUAGUUACGGCCCACCCCACAAUCCAAAGCCACGAGGCGACAAAAAAAACCUCAGAACCAGACGAAACAGUUCUUGCAUUCGUCGGAGAAGCCGACAAUUCAAAAUUAACCAGGUACAGUGUGGACAUUGAUGAUGCUGAUGUCUUCUUCCCUUUUUGGGACAUUGAUGGUCCUGAAUCCUGAUGUAGCUGCUAGUGAGGGUCUAGAAAUGUCAGCAAGAAAAAGUCACUACUAUGAUACUGGGAUUUCCAUUAUGAAGGAUAAGAUUACACGAUUGCCAGUAAUUAUGUUGUGAAGAAUUCAUUCUACAUUCCCAAACCUGCUUUUAACUGGAGAAUAAAUUCUUAAUGCUGUGAGUUUGGAAAAAUCUCUUGUGAAGCAAUACUCAUGGAGUCAUAUGAGCAAAUAUACUUAUCAGAUAAUGAUGUUUCUACAGUUAAGAAUUUUUCUUCUUCCAUAAGCAUUAUUUUGGAGUAUUAACACUAAUUAUUGAGAUGGAGAAUAUAAUUCAGUGAAAUCAUUAUUCUUUUAUGGAGUGAAUGUAAUUAUUCCAUGUUGACAAUUAACUCAA